Molecule: ribosomal RNA, 306 nt
Filed under: uncultured bacterium
Lineage: Bacteria
Description: bacterial SSU rRNA
Rfam family: Bacterial small subunit ribosomal RNA
Source: RNAcentral
GAUGAACGCUAGCGGCAGGCCUAACACAUGCAAGUCGAGGGGUAUAUAAUGCUUGCAUUAUAGAGACCGGCGCACGGGUGAGUAACGCGUAUGGAAUCUGCCUUGUACAGGGGAAUAGCCCAGGGAAACUUGGAUUAAUGCCCCAUAGUAUUAUGAGACGGCAUUGUUUUUAUAAUUAAAGAUUUAUCGGUACAAGAUGAUCAUGCGUCCCAUUAGCUUGUUGGUGUGGUAACGGCACACCAAGGCUACGACGGGUAGCCGGCCUGAGAGGGUGACCGGCCACACUGGGACUGAGACACGGCCCAG